UCAAGAUUAAACACCAUUUUGACGGUGAGUAUUCGACAAAAACCGGUUAAAACAAAAAUUGCAAUUUAGUUUAAAAAAAAGAAAAGAAUUUUAGUAAAAAUUAAACACCAAUACACCAUCCAAGUUUAAUCAAGAUUUUGGUUCGUCACUAGGCCGUAAAAGUCUUUGAUGAAUUGAUUAGGGGUUUUAUCAAAUGGAACCUGAAACGAAAAAGAGAAAAUUUAUCCGUCCACCUCCUCGCCGUUGCAUAAUCAGAUGUGUGUUUCAAGUUAUACACGAUAUUGCAAUUUUGUAAACUUUUAGGACUGCCCCUUCACCACCUGAAAAGAGUGAUCCUGUCACGGUUUCAGCUAAGCCAAAUGUAAAUAUGGCUCAAAAUGUAAUUAUUGAUUCAAGGAUUUAACAAGCUAAGAAUCACGCGAUUGCGCAGGCUCAAGAACAUGGCUCAAAAGCAAACUUCAGGGUAUUUGAUUCCCCAUUUGGGAACUUUCUAGUCCCCGUUGUUCCAACUCGUGCGGAAUUUGGUGGUUGAUUGGUCAGGCAUGUUGUUAUUACGCAUUCGUACCUGCUAACUUUGUAUUGAAUUUGAUACCUCUAAUGCUUAAAACCACUCGUGAGGUUCAGUAGGAAACUGAUUACCAAGUCUUUAUAAGUUCAGGUUCUUGGCUCAUAAGAUGUAUAUGGUAGAAUUUUGUUAAGUUGGCACUUUUAUCGGUUCAUUUUUAGACGAAUAAGAUAUGUUUUUCACAUCAAA
Molecule: long non-coding RNA, 754 nt
Organism: Erigeron canadensis
Lineage: Eukaryota; Viridiplantae; Streptophyta; Magnoliopsida; Asterales; Asteraceae
Exons: 3
Source: RefSeq, a predicted model, not a curated record